This 277-nucleotide ribosomal RNA is filed under the name uncultured prokaryote. RNAcentral's name for it is "partial 16S ribosomal RNA". It matches the Rfam family "Bacterial small subunit ribosomal RNA", at positions 524 to 800 of the family's 1533-position model. The record is from RNAcentral.
UACGUAGGGGGCUAGCGCUAUCCGGAUUUACUGGGUGUAAAGGGCGUGUAGGCGGCUCUGCAAGUCAGAUGUGAAAUUUCCGGGCUUAACCCGGACGGGUCAUCUGAAACUGCAGGACUUGAGUACUGGAGAGGAUAGCGGAAUUCCUAGUGUAGCGGUAAAAUGCGUAGAUAUUAGGAGGAACACCGGUGGCGAAGGCGGCUAUCUGGACAGUAACUGACGCUGAGGCGCGAAAGCGUGGGGAGCAAACAGGAUUAGAUACCCCCGUAGUCCCUGA